This 493-nucleotide ribosomal RNA is filed under the name uncultured bacterium. RNAcentral's name for it is "bacterial SSU rRNA". It matches the Rfam family "Bacterial small subunit ribosomal RNA", at positions 15 to 518 of the family's 1533-position model. The record is from RNAcentral.
GAUUAUGGCUCAGGAUGAACGCUGGCGGCGUGCUUAACACAUGCAAGUCGAACGGACAUUUAAUGAAACCUAGUGAUUUAAAUGUUAGUGGCGGACGGGUGAGUAACGCGUGGGUAACCUGCCUUACACUGGGGGGAUAACACUUAGAAAUAGGUGCUAAUACCGCAUAAGCACACAGCUUUGCAUGAAGCAGUGUGAAAAACUCCGGUGGUGUAAGAUGGACCCGCGUCUGAUUAGCUAGUUGGUGAGGUAAUGGCUCACCAAGGCGACGAUCAGUAGCCGGCCUGAGAGGGUGAACGGCCACAUUGGGACUGAGACACGGCCCAAACUCCUACGGGAGGCAGCAGUGGGGAAUAUUGGACAAUGGGGGAAACCCUGAUCCAGCGACGCCGCGUGAGUGAAGAAGUAUUUCGGUAUGUAAAGCUCUAUCAGCAGGGAAGAAAAUGACGGUACCUGACUAAGAAGCCCCGGCUAACUACGUGCCAGCCGCCGC